AAAAAAAAAAGGCCAAUCCUCCAACAAUGAGAUAAGUAAGGAGAAAAAGUGCUUCAUGUAUUGAUAUUCUGUGCAUCUACAAUAUCUCGAGGGAAGAAACAAGCUGAGCUUCAGAUCCUCACCUCUUUAUGAGCUGCCAGUAAUAGAAGAGAAGUUUCGUGUCUCACUUCAUGUAUCCGGAUAAGAAUGCAGUCUGGAAAUCGCCUGCAAAAUGGCUUCUGUUUCCUGGCUUUACAUAUGCUGAAGGAGUGUCCCGGAGAGAAGAUGAUCAUCUGUUGUCAAAAAGUAGCACCUUUUCUAACAAGAACAUUAGGAUUAAAAGCACGAAUCUGGAAUUAUGGCAGCAUAUUAUAAAUGAGAGCAGCUGGAGCACAAAACAACACGCAGAUCUAUGCUUCAUGAAGAAAGUAUGGGAAAAGUACAGCUGGUAUCUACCAACACAAUAAAUGUUGUGCAGAAAGGACAUCCUGAUGCCUUAAAAAUGUCUUUGCUCUCCUCCAUUCCUCAUGGACAUCUCUCCUAAGGUAUUUGGCAAUCAGUCAGUUUUGUUUGCUUCUGAAUGAAUUUUCAGAAAUGUGUUGUUGAAGAGCAAGAUUUUUCGGCAGUGGGAUGGAGAGGCCAUUGGCAGCGAGGUACAGGAGCCCUGAGCACAACAGCUUUUCAGGAGAGGGUUUUUAAUGGGUAGGAUUUUCACUUCUACUAAUAAUUAUUUCUUUUGGGAUUGAGUGAUGUUCUCCGGCUUUUUUUUACUGUUAUUGGGAGUUACGUGAAGGUCUGAAACUGGCCACUGUAGUAAAGGGAACUACAUUCUAUUCACACAGCAUAUGAAAAAGCCCUGUAUUUCACAGUAUGGUGCCAAGAAACCCUUAAUUUUCAUCUGCAUGUCUGUAAGAGGGAAUUGAUCUGUAUUUUUUGU
Long non-coding RNA from Lagopus muta (rock ptarmigan), 916 nucleotides. RefSeq lists it as uncharacterized. The record is from RefSeq and is a predicted model, not a curated record. The transcript is spliced from 3 exons. Lineage: Eukaryota; Metazoa; Chordata; Aves; Galliformes; Phasianidae.